RNAcentral lists this transfer RNA (81 nucleotides) under Daedalea quercina L-15889. RNAcentral describes it as "tRNA-Val". The record is from RNAcentral. Lineage: Eukaryota; Fungi; Basidiomycota; Agaricomycetes; Polyporales; Fomitopsidaceae.
GGGUCGGUGGCGUAGUUGGUUAUCGCAUCUGUCUAACAUCCUGUUCACAGAAGGUCCUCAGUUCGAACCUGGGCCGACUCA